AGAGUGUUAGUAAACUAAUUACACUGCCUUGUCGUGACAACAUAAUGAGCCUCACCCUCAUACACUCUA
RNAcentral lists this transfer RNA (69 nucleotides) under Typhlonectes natans (Rio Cauca caecilian). Its description in RNAcentral is "tRNA-Asp". Lineage: Eukaryota; Metazoa; Chordata; Amphibia; Gymnophiona; Typhlonectidae. The record is from RNAcentral.